UACGGAGGGUGCAAGCGUUGUUCGGAAUUAUUGGGCGUAAAGCGCGCGCAGGCGGUCUGGAAAGUCUAUGGGUGAAAUGCCGGGGCUCAACCCCGUGCAUGCCCAGGAUACUGUCAGACUGGAGACACGUAGAGGCAAGCGGAAUUUCGGGUGUAGCGGUGGAAUGCGUAGAUAUCCGAAAGAACACCGGAGGCGAAGGCGGCUUGCUGGGCGUGAUCUGACGCUGAGGCGCGAAAGCGUGGGGAGCGAACAGG
Molecule: ribosomal RNA, 254 nt
Filed under: uncultured bacterium
Lineage: Bacteria
Description: partial 16S ribosomal RNA
Rfam family: Bacterial small subunit ribosomal RNA
Source: RNAcentral